This is a long non-coding RNA of Ahaetulla prasina, 2759 nucleotides long. RefSeq lists it as uncharacterized. Lineage: Eukaryota; Metazoa; Chordata; Lepidosauria; Squamata; Colubridae. The transcript is spliced from 4 exons. The record is from RefSeq and is a predicted model, not a curated record.
CAUCAGUGGUGGGUUGCUCCCGGUUCUGUCCAGUUCUUGUGAAUCAUAAAAGCAGCAGGAGGCUCUGCCCACCCGCCCGGAUGUCAUAAUGGAUGAUCUGUGCACGCGCUCCCAUUGCGAACUGGUAGUAAAGGUAAGUAGAACCCACUCCUGAUUUGCAUCCUGAUUAAGAUCAGACUGAGGAAGGUGAGUCUCCUUUUUUUUCCUUCAAUCCCAUCCCCAAUUACUGGCAUAUUUAAUGUUUUUAAACCUUUGCACAAUUUGAUUGUUGGCUAAUUUUGCUGUUACUCUAUUGCAACAUUGUCCUUGUCCUUCCUGCCAUUUAUUGUACUUUUUUCCCUCUCUUCUUCCACUGAUUUUUUUUUUAUUUGACAUUUUAAUGUAUAGAUGCAUUACACAUAGGAUGGUAAGUGAUAUAAAAGUGCAAUUCAAAAAGUAGUCAAUAUGUUCUUUUUACCAGCACAGCAAUAUUUUUAAAAAAUUUAGAUUUCUUCAUUAAACAUAUUGUCAGGUGAGGUUCUUGGGGAAAGGGGAAGUUGUGUUAGCUGUCACUAAUACAACUUUAUUAUAGAUGCAGAGCAGAGAUUGUUGACCUAGAAUUGCAGAUUCUGAUAUUUCAGGCAGCAUUUGAUUUUGCUAGCUUUCAAUGCAGCCAAUACCUAAAUAUUGUAGACUUUACUCAGGUCGUGUCUGAAGAGAACUCUUUGUCUGUUUUUGUUCUUUUAGCCAAAGUUGGUGAAAUCUCAGCAAAGGCUGAUAAAAUCAAUCAGGAAGGAUUCAAAAAAACUGGGGGCAGGAAAUCAGGCCAGAACAUCUCAUUCUCAUCUCAGAUGAAAACCCAAACAAUUAUUCACUCUUCAGAAUUCAAAUUGUUUGAAUAGUGGAUGUGAGAGGAGGCAUAAAUGUUCUUAGAGAUUUUUUGGUAAUUUAGGCAAUGUUUAAUAAGGAGAAGAGGAAGGGUGGAGAGAUAGCACUGACAUAGCUAGGUGAUAACUUUACUCUGCAACACAGAGCAGAAAGAAACAAGGUUAGAAAGUUCAAAAAUGGGGAAGAAGUAGCCCCUCCAUUUUCCCCUUUAUUAAAGCAGCAAUGCUGAUGCCGCCAUGGGUGCCUUAUUAAUUUCCGGAGCUAUAGUCUUUUUUAAUAGUUAUAAGCAGGUUCUCUUUUUGGCUCAAUCUCUAUCUUCCAUAUGCACACAGAUACUGUAUUUUCAACCGAUAAGUUAGGAAAUCAGACCCUGAGUUCAAUUUUCGUAUAUCAGCUUGGAAAGAAAAACAUUCAAGUGAGUUGGUCCUUAGAAUCUCAAAAUAUGUUAACUGACUGAUUUGAUUUAUAUGGCUGCACACCUUGCUUCUGCAACUCUAGAUGCUUAACAAUGCAGCAAUUAAACCCAUAACAGUCAAAACUAAAAAUUUAAAUAACAAUAACAUUGGUACAAUGCAGCCAAGAUCCUAAAAGAAACAAACAAAAAUACAUUGUGUCCUAUAACCAGGGCUCAUCUAAUAACCUAACAUCCUGGCCAGUUCCUGGGGAAUAACCAGGUUAUAAGAGUUUUCUACAACAUCAAACAGGGUUGAAAUGAUCAAAUCUUGGGGGAAAUGGUGCUCCAUUGGACAAGUGGUACAACAACAAAGAAGGCAGAUCUUCCAGGUCACAGUGGAUGACACUGUUUCAAAGAAGAGACCUAGACCAUGCUCACUGUAGAUAAGCAGAAAUGAUCAGAGACAGGUGGUCCUGUAAAUAACUAUGCUAUGUAGGAGUUUAUAGGUAAUAAGGAGCAUCUUGAAGUCUAGUGGGAGCCAGGACAGCUCAAAACCAAUAGCCACUGGAUUUUAUCAAAGUUGACCCACAACCAUUUCUUUCCCAUGCAGACCCUCAUAGCCUUCAAACAUUGGGAAAGUAUCUCAGCAUUGCCUAUCAACCUGGAACAAAAAUGUACAACUCAGUAUCAUCAGCAUACCAACAUGCCUCACCCUAUGACAAUGUCUAAUAGCUAACCUAACAGGUUUGUCUGCCAGAGAUCAUCCAUGAAUGCGACCAAUGCUGCUUCAGUCCUAUAUAUGGGCCUCAAACCUGACUGAAAAGGGCCCAAAUAAUCCAUUUACUCCAGGAUCCUCUGGAAUUGCCACCUAAACCUAAACCUAAAAACCACCUUCCCUUAAAAAAAAAAAAAAGCUGGUUGUUACUACAAGUGAAAGGCCUGCAUGACUUCUAGCUCUAAUCUGGAAAAUCCUGGUGACUGGUGAUUUGGGUUGUAGUCUUAAAUCCAACUGGAAGGUACCUGGACAUUGCCAUAAGAAAAAAGAAGAAGUUAUCCUAAUUGGUUGAAAUAAACAAAAGCCCAUAUAUGGUCUACUCUUAUCAUACACCUUCUGGAUACACGUGUUACUCUCGAUGCCCCCUCCUCUUUGCCACAUAGUCACAAGAACAGUUUGUAGAAAUAUUUCUGCACUUUCCCGAAAGCUUGCAAAACCAUAUACCUGCCCAAUGGUAUACUUCUGCUUUCUAAGUGACACGUUGACUUUUAUACAAGUUGGUAAUAUCUGAUCUUGUUAUAAUCCUAACAAAUAAACAUAAAGCACUUGUAUUAUAAAGCAUUGGGGUCUUGCUUCACCAGGAGAUGUGCUUUCUCUGCAACAGUGCCUGGCACAUUCUUCAGAAUUAUCUUAGCUACGUCUCCUUUGAAAGUCUGGAAGGCUCUCAAGGCCUGGUUAUAUUACCAUUAGGCCUGGGACUCCCAGAGAAAUGGAAAUAUUGGU